GACGAACGCUGGCGGCGUGCUUAACACAUGCAAGUCGAACGGAAAGGCCCUGCUUUUGUGGGGUGCUCGAGUGGCGAACGGGUGAGUAACACGUGAGUAACCUGCCCUUGACUUUGGGAUAACUUCAGGAAACUGGGGCUAAUACCGGAUAGGAGCUCCUGCUGCAUGGUGGGGGUUGGAAAGUUUCGGCGGUUGGGGAUGGAUGCGCGGCUUAUCAGCUUGUUGGUGGGGUAGUGGCUUACCAAGGCUUUGACGGGUAGCCGGCAUGGGAGGGUGACCGGCCACAAUGGGACUGAGAUACGGCCCAGACUCCUACGGGAGGCAGCGGUGGGGAAUAUUGCACAAUGGGCGGAAGCCUGAUGCAGCAACGCCGCGUGCGGGAUGACGGCCUUCGGGUUGUAAACCGCUUUCGCCUGUGACGAAGCGUGAGUGACGGUAAUGGGUAAAGAAGCACCGGCUAACUACGUG
Molecule: ribosomal RNA, 468 nt
Filed under: uncultured bacterium
Lineage: Bacteria
Description: partial 16S ribosomal RNA
Rfam family: Bacterial small subunit ribosomal RNA
Source: RNAcentral